ACAGUCCAGGCUCGUAUUCCCUUUAGACUUUUGGUGCAUAAACAACAACCCUGUGGGAGGAUUGGCAAGACUAGAUUCCUUCUCAGACUGAUUCCCCAGGGUCGCUGGUGUUCCCAGGUGUCACAACCUGCCUGCAGAGCCCAGCCUACCUGCAGAGAGGACUGGAACCUCCUGCUGAACCUUGGAGGACAGGAACUGCCUGAUGAACUGCCUGCCUCCCUCUCUGGACUGUCAUCCCCUUGAGAGCAGAUCCUCCUGCCAAGCAUAUGGUCUGCAGCUGCUUGGCUCUGGAUGUAACCAUGGUGUGUGGCCACACCAGCACCAAUGGGACCCCCAAACUCUGCCUCUAUUCUGGACUGGAGGACUGCAAAACCACUUUGCAAAAGACACAAAUGAGAAAUUCUAUACUGAGGAAGGAUGAAAAGGUUUGGAUACAAGAAUGCAAUCUGCCACCAACUAUCAAGAGGAGACAAUAAAAAAGAACUUGGCCCUACCCAUGCUUAUGCCUGCACACUCUCCUACACUCUCCCUCCCUCCCUCCUGCUCCCCUAGAGGGACUCAAUUCCGAGGUGUAAAUACGCUUCCGAGUCUGCCCACCUCAGUGCUGCUGUGCAUGUCAGAUGAGAAGAUGCAGGGAUGGUGCCGCAGACGGGAACACACUCCAUGUGGGAAUGCACUCCAUGUGUGUGAAGCAUCACCUGACCCUGAUUCUGUGCUCAGGAAGAAGGAAGCUCCUGCUGGGUCCUGAAGUUUGUCAGUUUUCUAGUAAGCUUCCUUUUGUUCCUUCCCAAAGCUCUGCUCACCCCAGAAAAAAAUGUCAACACUU
Long non-coding RNA from Chinchilla lanigera (long-tailed chinchilla), 826 nucleotides. RefSeq lists it as uncharacterized. The transcript is spliced from 3 exons. Lineage: Eukaryota; Metazoa; Chordata; Mammalia; Rodentia; Chinchillidae. The record is from RefSeq and is a predicted model, not a curated record.